This 460-nucleotide ribosomal RNA is filed under the name uncultured bacterium. RNAcentral describes it as "partial 16S ribosomal RNA". It matches the Rfam family "Bacterial small subunit ribosomal RNA", at positions 338 to 795 of the family's 1533-position model. The record is from RNAcentral.
CCUACGGGAGGCUGCAGUGAGGAAUAUUGGUCAAUGGGCGAGAGCCUGAACCAGCCAAGUCGCGUGAAGGAUGACGGCCCUACGGGUUGUAAACUUCUUUUGUCAGGGAGCAAUUGAGUCCACGUGUGGGCUUAGCGAGAGUACCUGAAGAAAAAGCAUCGGCUAACUCCGUGCCAGCAGCCGCGGUAAUACGGAGGAUGCGAGCGUUAUCCGGAGUUAUUGGGUUUAAAGGGUGCGUAGGCGGAAUAUCAAGUCAGCGGGAAAGAUUCGGGGCUCAACCCAGUCGUGCCGUUGAAACUGAUGUUCUUGAGUGGGCGAGAAGUAUGCGGAAUGCGUGGUGUAGCGGUGGAAUGCAUAGAUAUCACGCAGAACUCCGGUUGCGAAGGCAGCAUACCGGCGCCCAACUGACGCUGAGGCACGAAAGCGUGGGUAUCGAACAGGAUUAGAUACCCGAGUAGUC